This 248-nucleotide long non-coding RNA is filed under the name Homo sapiens (human). Its description in RNAcentral is "HSALNT0299344". The record is from RNAcentral. Lineage: Eukaryota; Metazoa; Chordata; Mammalia; Primates; Hominidae.
GGGCGCGGUGGCUCACGCCUGUAAUCCCAGCACUUUGGGAGGCCGAGGAGGGCGGAUCACAAGGUCAAGAGAUCGAGACCAUCCUGGCCAACAUGGUGAAACCCCGUCUCUAUUAAAAGUAUAAAAAUUAGCUGGGCGUGGUGGCAGGCGCCUGUAGUCCCAGCUACUCGGGAGGCUGAGGCAGGAGAAUCGCCUGAACCCGGGAGGCGGAGGUUGCAGUGAGCCGAGAUCGAGCCACUGCACUCCAG